Molecule: ribosomal RNA, 1330 nt
Filed under: Microbacterium paraoxydans
Lineage: Bacteria; Bacillati; Actinomycetota; Actinomycetes; Micrococcales; Microbacteriaceae
Description: bacterial SSU rRNA
Rfam family: Bacterial small subunit ribosomal RNA
Source: RNAcentral
UGCUCUGUGGGAUCAGUGGCGAACGGGUGAGUAACACGUGAGCAACCUGCCCCUGACUCUGGGAUAAGCGCUGGAAACGGCGUCUAAUACUGGAUAUGUGACGUGACCGCAUGGUCUGCGUUUGGAAAGAUUUUUCGGUUGGGGAUGGGCUCGCGGCCUAUCAGCUUGUUGGUGAGGUAAUGGCUCACCAAGGCGUCGACGGGUAGCCGGCCUGAGAGGGUGACCGGCCACACUGGGACUGAGACACGGCCCAGACUCCUACGGGAGGCAGCAGUGGGGAAUAUUGCACAAUGGGCGCAAGCCUGAUGCAGCAACGCCGCGUGAGGGAUGACGGCCUUCGGGUUGUAAACCUCUUUUAGCAGGGAAGAAGCGAAAGUGACGGUACCUGCAGAAAAAGCGCCGGCUAACUACGUGCCAGCAGCCGCGGUAAUACGUAGGGCGCAAGCGUUAUCCGGAAUUAUUGGGCGUAAAGAGCUCGUAGGCGGUUUGUCGCGUCUGCUGUGAAAUCCCGAGGCUCAACCUCGGGCCUGCAGUGGGUACGGGCAGACUAGAGUGCGGUAGGGGAGAUUGGAAUUCCUGGUGUAGCGGUGGAAUGCGCAGAUAUCAGGAGGAACACCGAUGGCGAAGGCAGAUCUCUGGGCCGUAACUGACGCUGAGGAGCGAAAGGGUGGGGAGCAAACAGGCUUAGAUACCCUGGUAGUCCACCCCGUAAACGUUGGGAACUAGUUGUGGGGUCCAUUCCACGGAUUCCGUGACGCAGCUAACGCAUUAAGUUCCCCGCCUGGGGAGUACGGCCGCAAGGCUAAAACUCAAAGGAAUUGACGGGGACCCGCACAAGCGGCGGAGCAUGCGGAUUAAUUCGAUGCAACGCGAAGAACCUUACCAAGGCUUGACAUAUACGAGAACGGGCCAGAAAUGGUCAACUCUUUGGACACUCGUAAACAGGUGGUGCAUGGUUGUCGUCAGCUCGUGUCGUGAGAUGUUGGGUUAAGUCCCGCAACGAGCGCAACCCUCGUUCUAUGUUGCCAGCACGUAAUGGUGGGAACUCAUGGGAUACUGCCGGGGUCAACUCGGAGGAAGGUGGGGAUGACGUCAAAUCAUCAUGCCCCUUAUGUCUUGGGCUUCACGCAUGCUACAAUGGCCGGUACAAAGGGCUGCAAUACCGUGAGGUGGAGCGAAUCCCAAAAAGCCGGUCCCAGUUCGGAUUGAGGUCUGCAACUCGACCUCAUGAAGUCGGAGUCGCUAGUAAUCGCAGAUCAGCAACGCUGCGGUGAAUACGUUCCCGGGUCUUGUACACACCGCCCGUCAAGUCAUGAAAGUCGGUAACACC